CCACUUCCUAGGGGCUCAGGGCAUAGGCAGGUAAGCAGUCACUCCAUCUAUCUCUUCUUUCCUUGCUUUCUGCCAGGUUCUGUCCAAACAUCCUUUCAGGCAAAGGGGGAUGGGAAGCCCCAGACAGAUGAGCUCAUUGGAAGGAGGAGGGCAGAGGGAGGAGGGAGCGAACCACCCCGGGCAUGUCUCUGCUGGCCGGACAGUCCCAAGCUGGAGAGGGGUGUGUGCCCACUUCUAGAAGCAGCUCAGAAAUGGGAGACUUUCUUUCCAGCAGCUGCCUGGUCCUCCAAUCCUUUGCCUUCGAGACCAAUCCAACACCCACCACCGCUGCAUGUGAGACUUGUUCUGGAGAGUUCUCUGGAGUGUAACGCUUCUUUGGGUUACAGUCUUGGCUGCUAGCCUUUCAGCUUGGUCAGAGAGAAGAAAGAACUUUCUAAAGUCUGGCCUGCCACAACUCCAGACAGGAAAGUGAGAUGCAAAGAAGUAAGAGAAAGCUGCUCACCUCCACCAGCCCCAGAACUCCUGACAUGGAUGCUUACAAAACACGGACGAGAUGAUCCGGACACCCACACAUCUCCGUGGACUUUGUGAUAGAAGCUGAAGACAGUUUCCCAGUCAGAGCUCAGGAGAGCAAGCCCCCUGCCUGGCUGCUAAUCCCGACACUUCAAGCAAAUGCAAAGAAGCAACGUAUGGUCCCCCAGAGUAGAAUGCUCAAAGAAUUGUCCCAAUACAGAAAGACACCUGUACCAUUCUUUUGCCUAGCUCAUCUGUCUAGACUACAGGAAAUGCCUCUCACGUCCAUCUUUACUACCCCGUAGGGCAGAAGACAGUAGAAGCUAACUGAGAGAACUCCAUGUCGCCCAUCAGCCCUCAGCCAGUUAAGCACUGGUACCAUUACGGUCAUGUUUCCUCUCCACCAUGAAGCAAGGUUGGAUAAUCUGCCCUGCUGAUGACACACAGCCAAAUAGCUAAGCUAAGAGAAGACCCAGUGAUGACUCCUUCCGAAGCUCUUGCAAUACUACCUUGAAGACUCAAUGACUGAUUCUCCCACACCCAGGCCGUCCUGACACCAUUAGCCAGAGGCUUGACUACACAGUCAGGCCACCUCCUUACCUCAGCAUAUUUCCCGUUUGAGAGUAUCCAGUCUACUUUGACCACAUGUUUCUCUUCUGUGCUCUGGACAACACAUCCCAUGAAAGCUGAAUCACCCACAUGCACGGUCAGCUCAGGGGAGACAGUCAUGUCAGCCAGGCCCCAAGGAUCACCUACAGGGGUUGAAGGAUAGAAGACGUUACUUAGACAAGUAACUUCAACAAGAAAACUCAGCAUCAAUCUCUAGAGACCAUGCAUUUCCCCUCCAUCCACGAUCCAGCAUGAUCUAAGCACUUAGAGGCCCCUCACUCAAACCAGCAUGGCAAAGGAGAGCAAUCCUCUGCUUUUCUACAUGAUUCAAGUCUGAAGGAUUCUGCAACCUUCAAACCGCAAGAAGAGUUAGCUAGCUGGUUCCCUUGGCCUCGCUGGUCCCUUCCUCUUUUCUAGAAUUCCUCUGCCUUACCUUUCUAAUGAAAGGAAAUCCUGAAAUCCACAUCCACUCACUCACUUCUCUUAGCUCUGCGUACAGUGUUCUUAACAGUGAACUAAACAGGAAGUGGGCUCAUCCUCGCUGCCCGUGAGCUUGCGGGUUCCCUGUCUGAAUGAUCUGAAUGAUCAGUUGCUUUCUUCCUCUUUUCCCUUUAUUUAAUCCCUCACAAAAAGUUUAUCGCUGCAUUUGCUGGCUGAGUCUCUCCAGUUAAGUAGGCCAGAGCGGAGCACAGCUUUCUCUUCAAUUCCCUUUGUGUCUGCCCUCUCCCAGCCUCACCCUCCCGAGUCCCCAUCAACUCUGGCUUUUAGGAGGCCUCUGCAGGCAUAGGUUCCCCCCACUCCCUCAUCGGCCUGUCACUCACAGGAUUUCACUAAAAGAGAAAACUAUGGCAAGGACAUUUCUGUUUCCACAAGAUAUCCUCUGGCACAAAGACAACAAAAUCAAGAGACAAAUUUAGAUGCUGCCCAGUUCAUAUCGAAGAAGAGCCAAGUGAACACAUAUGGGAGUGAGCAGGAAAGGUGCCAGCCUUUUCAUCCAAGCUGUCUCCUGAGAGAAGAGAGAACUUCCUGCCCAGCAGCAGGCUCACACAGUAGGGAGCAUGGAAAAGAACACAGGAACUCUCAACCCUUUGGACAGAGGUCUGUUUCCACGGAAUAAGGAACAGGAUAGAGGCAGAAAAGAGAAAGAGAAAGGAAGGAAGUGGAGAGGAGCAGCAGGAAGCUGCCCUGGACACCCGGGCAAGGUCUGAACAGGAGAUUCCCACCCAGUCUACUGAGGCCAAAGCAGGCUUCCCAGAAGGAAGUAAAACCCGGGGGAAGCUUGUGGAAUCCGGAAGGCUUGAGCAAGCUUUUUGGGGUGAGGUGCUGGGGGGAGGGGUAAAAAUGGGAGGAACCCAGAGUUCCAGGCAGAGAAAAAACUUCAAUUAGGAAAGAGUUCCCUGUGUUUAGAAACCACAAAAGUAUCUGCCUGACUGAGGCAUAAAAGGUUCCUCCAUUUCCCUUCCUAUCUGAGACUAGCUGUAAUUGACCAACCCCAGUGUCAAGCAUAGGGAUGCCAAGAGAAACUUCCCUCCACACAAUUAUGUUCUAGAACACCCAGGAAGGACCCAAAGACAUUCUGUGCCCAGUAGAAACAGAAGGCAGCAAGAAGAACCAACUACCUGCUCCUGAAACAACCAGAACCGAGAAGUUCCAGCCCAGCGUUUCCAUAUCUCACAAACCAAAGGGAAUGAAACAUACAUAAAAAUGGACUUUUAAAAACACGAGACCAGGGCUAGCAAAACGGCUCAGUGGGUAAAGGCACUUGCCACCAAGGCCGAAGACCUGAGUUCAAGUCUAGGAAACCACAUGGAGGAAAGAACGGGCCACCUUCUGCAAUUUGUCUCUGACAUACCCAUGCCCUGUUCCCCCACAACACAAAAUAAAUAAUGUCCAAAUAAUUGUGGGUACAAGCCUUCAGAUACCGGCCUCAGUCUCUCGUUUCCACUUACCCAGAAUCACUGGAAUCACAAUCAGUUUCAGGAGGCAAAGCAUACUGCUUUCAAGUUUUUGAUCUUAAGAUAAAAGGAAAACCAGAAAAUUAUGAACAGAGAACAUUGUUAGCGGAACAAACCAACAGUGAGCCCCAGUGUGGGCCAGCGCCAGUGUGGACCAGCGCCACUGUGGGCCACGUUCUGUCUGAGGCACCGGCACAGCACUGAACAUGGGAGGCAGAGCUCUGGCGCAGCCACACUUGACAUAUGAGGAACAGCGGGCAGAAGGAAGCGAAGGAAACGCAGGAGUUUGUAUGAACAAGACAGCAUCAGGAUGCUGAGAGGGGAUAAGGUGAAACAAAACCAAGUGAUGUUUGGAGAGACCCUUGGGGUCUGCUUCAUGCCGGCCAGAAGGGAAGGUCAGAUGAAAGUCACUUUUCCAAACAAAAAGGGCCAAUGAGUCCUUGCGGAGCCCUUGAGACAACUACCCUAGAUAUUCUACAACCUGGACGCUUCACAUAAACCAAACACUACAGGGAUCCGCAGCCUCAACUUUUUACCUGUCCCUCCAGCUCAAUGGGAAUGGCUGCCUUGAUGAAGGCAAAGGACGUUCAGUCCAUGUGGGAGAAGAAAUAUACAAAGAACGGAAACUGAUUGAUCAGUGAUUUGCAUUUGGACAUUACACAUGCCCAGCAAUCGCUCCGCUAACAGAGUCAUAGCCUCAGUUCACAAAGGGGAAAUGUUAAGCCUAAAGGUUAACAUUUAACAUAAUAAAGGUUAACAUAAUAAAUGUUAAUACUAAAGGUAUUAGUUAUCAAAUUUAACAUACAAAGACACCACAGGAAAUACUUUUUUUUUCAACCUUUAAAGGCAGGACAGUGUGGUUAGAAUUAAGAAUUGAGCUGAACAUGUAAAACCAUUUCUAGUGUCUUUGUUCAAUGUCUGUGCUAUUAAUUUCCCAACACCCUCCAGCUCUUGGAAAAUGACUCACUAUUCUAUACCAAAUCCCCCCCAAAUGUUCUUAACCAAAGUGAAGAACCCUAACACUAAGAACUUACAACUCAGUCCAUCAUGGGGAGCAGACCAUCUCCCAUUACUAUAACCAUUUCAGCUGUGACCCCCAACACCUGAUGGCUCGGCAACUAGAACCAUUCUACCUCAGAACCGCUAAGAAAUGUCCCUUAUUGCAUUAAUAGCAAGGGCUCAGGCUAGCUCGCUGGGAUAUCUGGCACUGGCCAUUUCCUUUCUAAAAUGCAGUUGCCUGGAACUGGAGAUAUGGCGCAGCAGCUGAGGAGCAUGUACUGUUCUUGCAGAGGAUGAGUUUGCUUCUCAAUCCCACUUCUAGUGGCUCACGGCUGCCUGUAACUCUAGCUCCAGGGACAUCUGGUGCCUUUGACCUCCAAGAGUACCUGCACUCAUGUGCAUAUUCCCACCCACAAACAUACACACAUAUACAGAAUUCUAAAGAUAAAAUUAGAAAUACAUAUUUUUAGGUGGCUGCCCAAAAAGAUGCCUUACCUGUAUUCCAGUCAACAAAAUCCACUUGGAAAAUGGAAACUACUCAAGGAGGUUCCUUCCCUGGGUCUUCCUCGACUCACUAUACCUUAGCUAUACCUACAACACAGGAUGACAAAGCAAGAAUCAGAUAUGAUCAAAUAGAUAACAGUGUUUUCAAAAAGAGGAAACAUUGCUAGACAGGAUCCCAUUUUCUAGAACCUAAGAGCCAGACAGAGAGCAACCUGUGACUUUAGAGACGUCAGGCUCUGAGUUUCUGCCUUUAUAGGAACAGUAAGCUAUCAAUCAAAAUGAACUAGAAGCUUUGACUACCACUGUUACUAUGUAGACAAUAAUUACACUGUUCCAUCUGAAUCAGGAGUCGAACAGAAAAUACAGAUCUGCUCUAUGCCGACCACCUCCCCCAACACAAACACAGUUGGUGGCCGUAACAGGCUUCUCUUAGAGCAUGACUUUAGCUCAUCACAUUCAGACAUCCAAGAUCCAUGUCACCUUCUCAAGGAGCUACUGAGUUUGUUUCUCUGCUCAGCGAAGAGUUCUCAGCUCUCACAGGAUUCCCCGAAGAGAGAACAGCAGACAGAGGAGUAAUGGCUAAUUUGCAUGUCUGUCGCCAAUGCCUAUCGAAGUCUGCAGUCCCAAGGACAAGACCACGUACGUCUUGCUUGUAUUUGUGCUCCACCAAUCCUUGUUCUACAGGAUCUAUAGAUUGCUGGGAGCGUGCCAGAUAAAUGCUUGUCACCAACAAUGUGACCAUUACCUUGAAAUCAGCUUCGAGGCUUCCUGCAACCCCUUGACACUAUUCUGUGAGGAAACGAGCAACUUGAAAAGGACUGACUGACUCGCACAGAGCCACACCCAGCCUCCCUCAAACCAAUUCUAGGAAAUGUAUACUGUGAUGGAUAAAAAAAAAAAUACCCACUUUCAGUCUUAAAUACUCAAAUACACUGAUGGAGUUCUGUGUGAACUGGAGAGAAAAAAAAACAAUAUUUUUAGCAGAAAGAGCAUUGAAUUUUUUUUUUAAGUUAUUUUCCAGGCUCAACGUCUGGAACUCAGCUUUAACACUAUAGCCUCAGACUUUUUUUUUCUUUUUUCUAGUUGAUAGGCAACUACACCAAAAAUUAAGAAUUGAUAUGCAAUAAACAGAAAAAGCAGUAAUGCCAGGGAUUGUCUGGGCCAUUUACAUUCUAACUCACUCAAUCUUCACCACAACCAUGAGACUCUUUGCAGAUGGGGAAACUGAGGCACAGGCCAGUGGUAUGUUUUGCCUAAGAACACAUAGCAGAUUGGCACAGUCUGACAGGCAUUCUGGAUCUUUCAGCCCCAGCCUGUAUCAUCACGUUGAGGUGUUUCUCCACAUCUGUCAAAGUAGCUGAUGUUUUAGUGUGUUUACUCCCUGAGUUUUAUCUGAAGAAACAAUAUUAAUCCCCCUACACACACACACACACACACACACACACACACACACACACUGGUUGUUCUUCCAAACUUCAUUGCACAUACUUUCGCAUACAUGGCACAUGCCCUUUACUCCUGUUGAUCCAUUUUUCAGAUGGCAAGUUAAAUGUCAUUUCCUCAGGGAAACCGCUCCUCAACCACCCAUCCUAGGCCAGACCACCCAGCUGCCCCUUCAUGGUGCUCUGUAUCUUUCUUUCAGGGCAUUUGUCACAAGCGGUCAUCAUCUAUUUGCUAUGGUGCUCAUCUAAUUAAAUCCUUGUUCCUGGUCUCACUCCCCAAGACUCUCAGAUCCAAGAGGCUGAGAGGGCACCCAUGAAUUUCUCUACAGCUCCAGCACCGGCAUGGUGUAGGGCGCAGGAAAUCCUCAGUUUACAGCUUCUCAAACAAGCUAAUGACACCUUGGGAACUUACCAAAAAUCCUCUGGUUAAGUUUCAAUUUCCUGAGUAGGUGGCAAACAUUCAGAAAUUCUUUUUUAUACACACACAUCAUCAUCAUCAUCAUCACCACCACCACCACCACCACACAUCACUUAGUGAGGGGGAAUUAUCAUCAGGAAAUUCCAUUGUCUGAGCAUCCCAGAGUGCACUUACACAAACUGAGAUGGCUAUAAUGCCUCUAGGCUGUAUGAUCUUAUAAGACCACUGUCUAUGCAUUAUCAACUAAAAUGUUAUUUAGUACAUGACACAUACUUAUCUAUACAUACACAUAUAUUUUGAAACAUAUACGAUAACCCCAAUUCUGAAUUCUAAACACACAGAUCUUGAUUUUUAAAAUCCCAGCCAGCUGGCACAUUCAGAAGCAUCUUGCCAAUGGGUCUUGUUUUUAAACUCUCCUCUCUACCCUGUUCCCUUCCACACACUGGCAUAGCUCAGCUGUAGGUUGCAGGUUAAUACCACACAGCCAGUUAUUUCAUGUGCUGGCCGAGCUUUCUUACCCGAGCUCAUGGCUUCCUCACGAUAACUCCUGGCAAAUAUCUCCUAUGAGUCCUAGGGUGUGUGUGACCACCAGGGUUACAAUAUUUAUUCAUAUAUUAUUACAAUAUUGCAAGGCAGUGGAAGAACAGGGUCUUGCUGUCUCCUGGCCAGUUCGCCCCCGGCGCGGCCCCCCCCCCCCCCCCGGUAAUAACAAAGACCGCAGAAACACAGACAGCUGGACAGCCUUCCCGCUCUGCCUCACUCCACUGUGAGGCUAAGUUCUGCUCCUGUGCACCUUUGUACUCUCAGAAAUGUGUACAUAUCCAAGUCCUCAUGACCACUCGGCGACACAAACCUCUUAAAAUAUGCCCUUGCUUUUCCUUCUGAGACCAUGAAAUACAAAUGGGGGCAGGGGAUUGUGCUUCUGAAGCACAACCUAGAUUACAUGCUACUCAGAUGGGACCUUGGGAACCAUCUCCUGAUCCCUCCAGACGAGCAGGUAGCUAGUUCUAAUUCAGCUUACGUCUGUCUUUCUGGAGGUCUGGGCUAAGCCAGGGUAGUCCAGCUCUCUUGGGAGACUUGGACUUGUUACCUCGGUGACAUGUUGAUUUAUCCAGAACAGAGAGAAGACAAACGGAGGGAGGAGGGCUGCCAUGAGCUCCAGGACGGCCAGUCGUAACUCUGCCUAAAGCCAUAGGCAGCAGGAGAGCCCAUGGAUGAAGCCCAUGGAUGACCUUAGUCACGCUUAUUACGGCAAAGCUGACUUCUCUUUUCUCUGAGAACCUUGACGUAAAGUACACUACUAAAACUAAAGUUGCACCUACUUGUCUACCUCAUGGCAGCCCCCGCUGUGGAGAACGGGAGCUCUGUGCAUGGCCUCCUCAGCCUACAGCAGCUGGACCAGCUUUCCUCUGAAUGAAAACUAGCCACCUUCUCAGAACAGUUCAAUGGCUCACAGCACACCAAAGUCACUGCUUACC
This is a non-coding RNA of Peromyscus maniculatus bairdii (prairie deer mouse), 7918 nucleotides long. NCBI's taxonomy places the organism in Eukaryota, Metazoa, Chordata, Mammalia, Rodentia, Cricetidae. The record is from RefSeq and is a predicted model, not a curated record.